RNAcentral lists this unclassified non-coding RNA (406 nucleotides) under uncultured fungus. RNAcentral describes it as "sequence contains ITS1". The record is from RNAcentral. Lineage: Eukaryota; Fungi.
UUAACGAUUGUUAUAAACAUGAUUCAGACGGAAGGCAAAAUAAAUGCAAAUUAUUUGAAAAUUACCUUCCGUGGGCAUUGGCCGACCGACCAACUGAAGCCGAAAUCAUACACUCCAACCAACCAACUGGCUAGAGGCAUCAAGUACAGCCUCACCCCACGAAAGCAACAGGACAGGUACACAGAUUGGGUUACAAUUGGAAACAAUGCACGGCAAUGGCCGCCGAUAUCCAAGUUGCCUUGCAAAGAUAUUCGACCAACCUGCCAGCGGAAACAACCAGGUUGAAUAUGGCUAUUGGGAAGGCCCGCACCCCACUAAAACGGCCAUGGACUGGCACACAGCAAUGGUCAGAAACCGUGCAUUGCAUUGUAAUUUAAUGAUCCUUCCGCAGGUUCACCUACGGAAA